UCACACAGGUUAGCCUGAGACAGCCCACUUCACACAGUUAGCCUGAGACAGCCCACAUCACACAGAAGGCUAGAGUAGUGGCCGAAGUAAGAGUGGGGGUAUAUCUGGGUCUGGCCCCUCUGUGGCCCCCCAUCCUGAGGUUGUGCCAGCCAGUCUCAAGGAUCCUAGACGUAUAGGCCAUGGGUUUCUCGGGACAGCCUCAUGUGGACCAUGCAGUGGACACCGCUGGCCACCCUCAGUGGUCACCCAUCUGAAAAUGCAUGCACCAAGAUGUUGGAGAUAAGCACCGAGUCACCUCACUUAGCUGCAAGGCUUCAUUUCCCACCGGGACUCCAGGCUGACUUUUGGGAAUGGUCCAAACGCAUGGUCCAAAAACAACCAGAGAAGGGUGAGGUUUGCCUUCACCCAGCGUCACUGCAGGAUCAUUCUCUACCCUCCACCUACUGAUGACCCCACAUCCCAGGAGGCCACUGAGAGGCUGCAAGGGACAUUCCUCAGCCUCAGAGCCACAACGAGCCAGAUCACCAGAGAGGAGUUGACCCCUUUCCAAGCCCCACGGCUUCCAUAUCCAGGAACUAUUUCACCAGUGACUUAUGACUUCCUCAGAUGUCACUGAACCAGCUCCCACGGAAAGCCCGUGGGAGACAAAGGAGAAUGAAAAACUGCCCCAUCCCAGUCUGGUGGUGACAGGGGCUCCUUCAGGGACCAUCUAGUCAAACAUUGUCAUCUCAGAGACAGAGAGAAUGCAGGACACAGAUGGGCAGCCAGAACUCAAGUCUUGGCUGGGAACACUAUUUCACAUGCAAGGUGCCUGACAUGUAAGCACAAAUGUUGGGGUGUUAAGUUAGCAAAUGCAUUCAGAUGGAGCCAAAGAACACCUGCUCACCCCUACAACAGCACCAGCUCAACGGAAUCUGAAGGAUGCCUGCAUGCAUGCAUGCAGCAUGCAGAAAUGACCGCAGCUGGGACUGCCCUGAACCAGCUCACUGCUCACUUUGGGGACAGACAGUACAUCAAAUCAUGACAGCAAACAUGCCAUAAGUGUCCUAACGACGUGGUCAUGUAAGCCACACUCAGGACUGCAGCACUGUGGUAUGAAGUACAGUCAAUAUGCAGUCCAAACACAAACAGUUCCAGCAAAGCAGUGCAAGUUCUUGAGAAGCCUCAGCACUAUCUGGGAACAGGGCAAGAAGGGCCCGGAAGGAGAAAUGAGGUCCAGCCAAGCAGGGACAUCCACAGAUCUGCUGCUAGGAGAAGGAUCCCCCAGCACGGGAGCCAGCUGCAGCGUGGACGGUGCAGUGUGUGGACAUGCCCAAGGAGGGACUGGAUGUUGGAAGAGCAUGAACAGACACUUCAUGUGUUAGAAUACCUCCAGUUUCUUUGUCUCCAAUGGACUUGGCCUGGGAAGUCAUUUAUGGGACUCUUAGAUCCACAAACAUGUCCUUGCAUUCUUUUUCUUAUUGAGACAGACAAUAUUCCUAAGUUUGGAAGCCUGAGAUGACUUUUACCAGAAUUCUAGCAAAGCUCAGGGCCUGAAAUAUCAAACCAGACCUUGGAACUGACAGAGCUGAGGCACUACCUGCAGAAUCCAAAUGUUUGCUACAAACUUUCUGACAAAACAGGGCUGAUGCUCUACGUCAGAACCAACCCUGUCCCA
Peromyscus maniculatus bairdii (prairie deer mouse) is the source of this 1657-nucleotide non-coding RNA. The record is from RefSeq and is a predicted model, not a curated record. NCBI's taxonomy places the organism in Eukaryota, Metazoa, Chordata, Mammalia, Rodentia, Cricetidae.